RNAcentral lists this ribosomal RNA (496 nucleotides) under uncultured bacterium. RNAcentral's name for it is "partial 16S ribosomal RNA". It matches the Rfam family "Bacterial small subunit ribosomal RNA", at positions 28 to 507 of the family's 1533-position model. The record is from RNAcentral.
GACGAACGCUGGCGGCGUGCCUAAUACAUGCAAGUUGAGCGCUGAAGGUUGGUACUUGUACCAACUGGAUGAGCAGCGAACGGGUGAGUAACGCGUGUGGAAUCUGCCUUUGAGCGGGGGACAACAUUUGGAAACGAAUGCUAAUACCGCAUAAAAACUUUAAACACAAGUUUUAAGUUUGAAAGAUGCAAUUGCAUCACUCAAAGAUGAUCCCGCGUUGUAUUAGCUAGUUGGUGAGGUAAAGGCGCACCAAGGCGAUGAUACAUAGCCGACCUGAGAGGGUGAUCGGCCACAUUGGGACUGAGACACGGCCCAAACUCCUACGGGAGGCAGCAGUAGGGAAUCUUCGGCAAUGGACGAAAGUCUGACCGAGCAACGCCGCGUGAGUGAAGAAGGUUUUCGGAUCGUAAAACUCUGUUGGUAGAGAAGAACGUUGGUGGGAGUGGAAAGCGCAUCAGGGGACGGAAACGACACAGAAGGGACGGCUAACUACGUG